This 268-nucleotide ribosomal RNA is filed under the name uncultured bacterium. RNAcentral's name for it is "partial 16S ribosomal RNA". It matches the Rfam family "Bacterial small subunit ribosomal RNA", at positions 524 to 793 of the family's 1533-position model. The record is from RNAcentral.
AACGUAGGACACAAGCGUUAUCCGGAGUUACUGGGCGUAAAGGGCGUGUAGGCGGACCUGUAAGUCUAUUCUGAAAGCUCCUGGCUAAACUGGGAGAGGCGAAUGGAGACUGCAGAUCUAGAGUGAGGAAGAGGAAAGUGGAAUUCCGCGUGUAGUGGUGAAAUGCGUAGAGAUGCGGAGGAACACCAGUGGCGAAAGCGACUUUCUGGUCCUUAACUGACGCUGAGGCGCGAAAGCAUGGGGAGCGAACGGGAUUAGAUACCCGUAG